AUGCAGUCGAGCGCGGGAAGCAGGCAGAUCCUCUUCGGAGGUGACGCUUGUGGAACGAGCGGCGGACGGGUGAGUAACACGUGGGCAACCUGCCUGUAAGAUUGGGAUAACCCCGGGAAACCGGGGCUAAUACCGGAUAAUACUUUUCGUUGCAUAACGAGAAGUUGAAAGGCGGCUUUUAGCUGUCACUUACAGAUGGGCCCGCGGCGCAUUAGCUAGUUGGUAAGGUAACGGCUUACCAAGGCGACGAUGCGUAGCCGACCUGAGAGGGUGAUCGGCCACACUGGGACUGAGACACGGCCCAGACUCCUACGGGAGGCAGCAGUAGGGAAUCUUCCGCAAUGGACGAAAGUCUGACGGAGCAACGCCGCGUGAGUGAUGAAGGUUUUCGGAUCGUAAAACUCUGUUGUCAGGGAAGAACAAGUGCCGUUCAAAUAGGGCGGCACCUUGACGGUACCUGACCAGAAAGCCCCGGCUAACUACGUGCCAGCAGCCGCGGUAAUACGUAGGGGGCAAGCGUUGUCCGGAAUUAUUGGGCGUAAAGCGCGCGCAGGCGGUCCUUUAAGUCUGAUGUGAAAGCCCACGGCUUAACCGUGGAGGGCCAUUGGAAACUGGAGGACUUGAGUACAGAAGAGGAGAGUGGAAUUCCACGUGUAGCGGUGAAAUGCGUAGAGAUGUGGAGGAACACCAGUGGCGAAGGCGACUCUCUGGUCUGUAACUGACGCUGAGGUGCGAAAGCGUGGGGAGCGAACAGGAUUAGAUACCCUGGUAGUCCACGCCGUAAACGAUGAGUGCUAGGUGUUAGGGGGUUUNCCGCCCCUUAGUGCUGAAGUUAACGCAUUAAGCACUCCGCCUGGGGAGUACGGCCGCAAGGCUGAAA
This 880-nucleotide ribosomal RNA is filed under the name Virgibacillus marismortui. RNAcentral's name for it is "bacterial SSU rRNA". It matches the Rfam family "Bacterial small subunit ribosomal RNA", at positions 55 to 899 of the family's 1533-position model. The record is from RNAcentral. Lineage: Bacteria; Bacillati; Bacillota; Bacilli; Caryophanales; Bacillaceae.